GUGUCAGCAGCCGCGGUAAUACGUAGGGGGCUAGCGUUGUCCGGAUUCAUUGGGCGUAAAGCGCGUGUAGGCGGCCAGGUAGGUCCGAUGUGAAAACUGGAGGCUCAACCUCCAGCUGUCAUUGGAAACCAUCUGGCUAGAGUCCGGAAGAGGAGAGUGGAAUUCCUGGUGUAGCGGUGAAAUGCGCAGAUAUCAGGAAGAACACCGAUGGCGAAGGCAGCUCUCUGGGACGGUACUGACGCUGAGACGCGAAAGCGUGGGGAGCGAACAGGAUUAGAUACCCCCGUAGUCC
RNAcentral lists this ribosomal RNA (292 nucleotides) under uncultured bacterium. RNAcentral describes it as "partial 16S ribosomal RNA". It matches the Rfam family "Bacterial small subunit ribosomal RNA", at positions 505 to 796 of the family's 1533-position model. The record is from RNAcentral.